AUGGUGGAAUUUGCCGGCGGUGUGAAAGGAAUCGCCUUAAAUCUUGAGAAUGAGAAUGUAGGUAUUGUUGUCUUUGGUAGUGAUACCACUAUUAAAGAAGGAGAUCUUGUCAAGCGCACUGGAUCUAUUGUGGAUGUUCCUGCGGGAAAGGCCAUGUUAGGCCGUGUGGUCGACGCCUUGGGAGUACCUAUUGAUGGAAAAGGGGCUCUAAGCGAUCACGAACGAAGACGUGUCGAAGUGAAAGCCCCAGGGAUUAUUGAGCGUAAAUCUGUGCACGAACCCAUGCAAACAGAGUGA
This 297-nucleotide ribosomal RNA is filed under the name Triticum aestivum (bread wheat). RNAcentral's name for it is "partial small subunit ribosomal RNA". The record is from RNAcentral. Lineage: Eukaryota; Viridiplantae; Streptophyta; Magnoliopsida; Poales; Poaceae.